RNAcentral lists this ribosomal RNA (504 nucleotides) under uncultured bacterium. RNAcentral's name for it is "partial 16S ribosomal RNA". It matches the Rfam family "Bacterial small subunit ribosomal RNA", at positions 29 to 523 of the family's 1533-position model. The record is from RNAcentral.
AUUGAACGCUGGCGGCAGGCCUAACACAUGCAAGUCGGACGGUAGCACAGAGAGCUUGCUCUUGGGUGACGAGUGGCGGACGGGUGAGUAAUGUCUGGGGAUCUGCCCGAUAGAGGGGGAUAACCAUUGGAAACGGUGGCUAAUACCGCAUAACGUCGCAAGACCAAAGAGGGGGACCUUCGGGCCUCUCACUAUCGGAUGAACCCAGAUGGGAUUAGCUAGUAGGCGGGGUAAUGGCCCACCUAGGCGACGAUCCCUAGCUGGUCUGAGAGGAUGACCAGCCACACUGGAACUGAGACACGGUCCAGACUCCUACGGGAGGCGGCAGUGGGGAAUAUUGCACAAUGGGCGCAAGCCUGAUGCAGCUAUGCCGCGUGUAUGAAGAAGGCCUUCGGGUUGUAAAGUACUUUCAGCGGGGAGGAAGGCGACGCGGUUAAUAACCGCGUCGAUUGACGUUACCCGCAGAAGAAGCACCGGCUAACUCCGUGCCAGCAGCCGCGGUAA